CUACGGGUCGCUCCAGUGAGGAAUAUUGCACAAUGGGGGGAACCCUGAUGCAGCAACGCCGCGUGGAGGAUGACGCAUUUCGGUGUGUAAGCUCCUUUUAUAUGUCAAGAAAAUGACGGUAGCAUAUGAAUAAGCACCGGCUAACUCCGUGCCAGCAGCCGCGAGUAAUACGGAGGGUGCAAGCGUUACUCGGAAUCACUGGGCGUAAAGGACGCGUAGGCGGGUUGGAAAGUCAGGUGUGAAAUCCUACAGCUUAACUGUAGAACUGCACUUGAAACUUCUAAUCUAGAGUAUGGGAGGGGGAGAUGGAAUUAGUGGUGUAGGGGUAAAAUCCGUAGAUAUCACUAGGAAUACCUAAAGCGAAGGCGAUCUCCUGGAACAUUACUGACGCUAAGGCGUGAAAGCGUGGGGAGCAAACAGGAUUAGAUACCCCGGUAGUC
This 440-nucleotide ribosomal RNA is filed under the name uncultured bacterium. RNAcentral's name for it is "partial 16S ribosomal RNA". It matches the Rfam family "Bacterial small subunit ribosomal RNA", at positions 339 to 795 of the family's 1533-position model. The record is from RNAcentral.